UUGCAAAGUUGCUAUCUCUGCUGUUUUGCUGCUUUUGUAUGCUCGAUUUUAUCGUGGUACCGCCUGCUUUUCUCUGAUUCUGCCCCGAAGCUUUUUUUGCAUCCAGACAGGUUAGUGUUUCUGGUUCUCCUCUCUUUCCUAUUUCUUUUAUAUUUUGCUAUCUAUAUUCCGUCUCUAUCACUUGUAUUUUCUGCUAUGUGGUUGGUUGCAUCUUCUUAGAGCCUCACUUCUUUGACUUGAAUUGCGGGAGCUUAUUUACUACUUCCCGAAACUUUUGGAUGACUUUGUUGGGUUAACAAGGAGCUUUUCAACUCCUGUUCCUGUACUAUUACUGCUGAAGGAUGGAAAUUAUAGACAGCCUUGCAUUUCAUGCUGAA
Coffea arabica (coffee) is the source of this 377-nucleotide non-coding RNA. NCBI's taxonomy places the organism in Eukaryota, Viridiplantae, Streptophyta, Magnoliopsida, Gentianales, Rubiaceae. The record is from RefSeq and is a predicted model, not a curated record.